Rhineura floridana is the source of this 162-nucleotide small nuclear RNA. RefSeq annotates it as U1 spliceosomal RNA. The transcript has a single exon. The record is from RefSeq and is a predicted model, not a curated record. Lineage: Eukaryota; Metazoa; Chordata; Lepidosauria; Squamata; Rhineuridae.
CUCUUAACCAGGCAGGGAAGAUACCUUGAACAUGAAGGAGGUUUUUGGAGGGCGAGGCUCAUCCAUUGCACUCUGGGUGUGUUGACCCCUGCGAUUUUCCCAAAUGUGGGAAAUUUGACUGAAUAAUUUAUCUUAAUCCCUUUAGAAUUAGUUAUGCUGGCU